This 607-nucleotide long non-coding RNA is filed under the name Elaeis guineensis (African oil palm). Its description in RNAcentral is "long non-coding RNA (EGUI_LNC022052)". Lineage: Eukaryota; Viridiplantae; Streptophyta; Magnoliopsida; Arecales; Arecaceae. The record is from RNAcentral.
UACGGUUAAAGUUAUUACUCCUUCCACCGGUAUAGCAUUGCCAGUGAACCCCACCAACGGAGAGCUUAUCGGUCCUAAUCGAUCAUUCGGAAUGGAUAUUUUUGAGAAUGCAUCAUAAAAUAAAAUAUCGGCAGAGCUUCCACUAUCAACAAGAAUGCGGCGUACAUCAUAGUCAGCAAUAUUUAAAGAAACUACAACCGCAUCAUUAUGGGGGAAUUGAAUCUCCUUGGCAUCUUCUUCAGUAAAGGUUAUAGAUUCAUCAGUCCUCUGUCGCUUGGGCGGUCCGACCGAUCCACUGGCUACCCCCCACCGGGAUCCUCCAGAGAUGGUGUUGAUGAUCCCGAUUGGAGGUCGAUCUUCAGGCUGUUCUUCCCUCCUUGGUGGCUCUGGCUGUGGUAGGGCCCUCGGCCGAUCCUCCUUAUCUUCAGGUCGGCGUCGGAUGAAUCUGUCAAGCCGACCUCAUCUGAUGAGCUCCUCGAUCUCGUCUUAGAGCUGAAUACACUCCUCCGUGUCGUGAUCGUGGUCACGAUGAUAGAGGCAGAACUUGUUAGGGUUGCACUUUCUGGGGUGUGUGCGCAUCCUUUCCGACCUUGGCAGCUGCUCCCUG